RNAcentral lists this long non-coding RNA (569 nucleotides) under Helianthus annuus (common sunflower). Lineage: Eukaryota; Viridiplantae; Streptophyta; Magnoliopsida; Asterales; Asteraceae. The record is from RNAcentral.
AUGAAUAAAAGCGACGAAGAAAUAUACUCCACGAAGAACACAGGAGAUGGAGAUUUCAGGAAAAGAAAAUUGGAUCAACAUUAGCUUUGCAGAGUGAAGAGGUCAAGCUUUCAUGACUUCACUAGUGGCGAUGUUACCAUGGUGGUGCAACACGCACCAAUACCUCAAACACCACCAUCCACUAUUCCAUGGUGGCCUGGGAGGAGGACCAAUAACGCCAUCCAUCAGUUUACAUUAGGCCAAAAAGGAUAUGUUUGAAAAACCAUGCCACCACAAACGAGUAUGAAUUUCAACAAAACAUGGUUACCUUUAAAAUCGUUACUCUUAGUAGCAAUAUUUUGUUGAAAUUUAUACUUCAGUUGUUGUUGUGGUGCUUCACUAAUUUCUCCUCUUUCGGCACCAUGGAAACUAGUGGAUGGUGGUCAAGUGGUGUUUGUGGAUUUGGUGCGUGUUACGUCAACAUGGUGUAUUGCAUGUGGUGAUGCCAUGAAUGCUUAACCUCUUUUUCUCUUCAUCCUUGUAUAUUACUUCAAUCACGACUUCAAGUCACAAGCCACGAUGCUCGAUCU